UCCCGUUUGACACGGGCAGUCCCUUUAGAGUGCCCAACUUAAUGAUGGCAACUAAAGGCAAGGGUUGCGCUCGUUGCGGGACUUAACCCAACAUCUCACGACACGAGCUGACGACAGCCAUGCAGCACCUGUGUUCCCGCCAGCCGAACUGAAGGAUCUCAUCUCUGAAACCCAUACGGGACAUGUCAAGGGCUGGUAAGGUUCUGCGCGUUGCAUCGAAUUAAACCACACGCUCCA
RNAcentral lists this unclassified non-coding RNA (237 nucleotides) under uncultured Alphaproteobacteria bacterium. RNAcentral describes it as "contains 16S-23S intergenic spacer region". The record is from RNAcentral. Lineage: Bacteria; Pseudomonadati; Pseudomonadota; Alphaproteobacteria.